UGAAUACGAGAUGCUACGGCAUUGAAGCAGUGUAUGUCAGACUUCCAAGAAAAGCUCGCAAUGUCAUAAACAAUAAAUGCCUGUACCAUAACCGACACAGGUGGGUAGGUAGAGUAUACUAAGGGGCGCGAGAUAACUCUCUCUAAGGAACUCGGCAAAAUGACUCCGUAACUUCGGGAGAAGGAGUGCCUUAUUUUAUAAGGUUGCAAUAACAAGAUCCAAGCAACUGUUUACCAAAAACACAGGUCUCCGCUAAGUCGAAAGACGAUGUAUGGGGGCUGACGCCUGCCCAGUGCCAGAAGGUUAAAGAAGUUGGUUAGCUUCGGCGAAGCUGAUGACUGAAGCCCUGGUGAACGGCGGCCGUAACGAUAACGGUCCUAAGGUAGCGAAAUUCCUUGUCGGGUAAGUUCCGACCCGCACGAAAGGCGUAAUGAUUUGGAUACUGUCUCGGAGAGGGGCUCGGUGAAAUAGACUUGUCUGUGAAGAUGCGGACUACCUGCACCUGGACAGAAAGACCCUAUGAAGCUUUACUGUAACUUGAGAUUGAAAUUGGACUUUAUUUGCGCAGUAUAGGUGGGAGACGUUGAGAAUAUUCUUGCGGGAAUAUUGGAGUCAUCAGUGAGAUACCACUCUUGUAAUGUUAGAUUUCUAACUUUGUAUCAUUAUCUGGUCAAAGGACAGUUUCAGGCGGGCAGUUUGACUGGGGCGGUCGCCUCCUAAACGGUAACGGAGGCGCACAAAGGUUUCCUCUGAACGUGUAGAAAUCGUAUCUAGAGUGUAAAGGCAUAAGGAAGCUUGACUGUGAGACCUACAAGUCGAGCAGGGACGAAAGUCGGUCUUAGUGAUCUGACGGUGCUGAGUGGAAAGGCCGUCACUCAACGGAUAAAAGUUACUCUAGGAUAACAGGCUGAUCUCCCCCAAGAGUUCACAUCGACGGGGAGGUUUGGCACCUGGAUGUCGGCUCAUCGCAUCCUGGGGCGGUAGUACGUCCCAAGGGUUGGGCUGUUCGCCCAUGAAAGCGGUACGCGAGCUGGGUUCAGAACGUCGUGAGACAGUUCGGUCCAUAUCCGGUGUAGGCGUUAGAAUAUUGAGAGGAGCCUUCUUUAGUACGAGAGGACCGAGAAGGACAUACCUCUGGUGUACCAGUUAUCGUGCCAACGGUAAACGCUGGGUAGCUAUGUAUGGAGUGGAUAACCGCUGAAAGCAUCUAAGUGGGAAGCCCACCUCAAGAUAAGUAUUC
Molecule: ribosomal RNA, 1240 nt
Filed under: metagenome
Description: bacterial LSU rRNA
Rfam family: Bacterial large subunit ribosomal RNA
Source: RNAcentral